CCGGAAGCGGAGGAAGCGCGCCCGCCCACUCCGCCCUGCUGCGUCCAGGUGGGAAGCUAGUUGUUCGGGUUUCACUAGAAGGAAUGCUUUGUGGCAAGACUGGAAGUUACCGUCACGUCCCAUUCUGGGCUGCAGCUGCUGAGAGAUCCUGGGACCUCUAACAUAAGCCGGCAGAAGAGACGAAUUCUACCAGUCGGUCUCCCAGAUCUCUGCCUGCAGUAUCCAGUCAACCCAAGAAUGCACGGCAAAAUGAGGAAACAACUGACAAGUGAAGAGUCUGCACAAUGGAAAACCACCCUGACCAUCACUUGGCAUUAUAGGGGUCACAGGAAUAGAGGGG
This is a non-coding RNA of Vicugna pacos (alpaca), 340 nucleotides long. Lineage: Eukaryota; Metazoa; Chordata; Mammalia; Artiodactyla; Camelidae. The record is from RefSeq and is a predicted model, not a curated record.